RNAcentral lists this ribosomal RNA (497 nucleotides) under uncultured bacterium. RNAcentral describes it as "partial 16S ribosomal RNA". It matches the Rfam family "Bacterial small subunit ribosomal RNA", at positions 28 to 507 of the family's 1533-position model. The record is from RNAcentral.
GAUGAACGCUGGCGGCGUGCCUAAUACAUGCAAGUCGAGCGAACAGACGAGGAGCUUGCUCCUCUGACGUUAGCGGCGGACGGGUGAGUAACACGUGGAUAACCUACCUAUAAGACUGGGAUAACUUCGGGAAACCGGAGCUAAUACCGGAUAAUAUAUUGAACCGCAUGGUUCAAUAGUGAAAGACGGUUUUGCUGUCACUUAGAGAUGGAUCCGCGCCGCAUUAGCUAGUUGGUAAGGUAACGGCUUACCAAGGCAACGAUGGGUAGCCGACCGGAGAGGGUGAUCGGCCACCCUGGAACUGAGACACGGACCAGACUCCUACGGGAGGCAGCAGUAGGGAAUCUUCCGCAAUGGGCGAAAGCAUGACGGAGCAACGCCGCGUGAGUGAUGAAGGUCUUCGGAUCGUAAAACUCUGUUAUUAGGGAAGAACAAAUGUGUAAGUAACUAUGCACGUCUUGACGGUACCUAAUCAGAAAGCCACGGCUAACUACGUG